CAGCAGCCACGGGAAUACGAAGGGUGCAGGCGUUACUCGGAAUUACUGGGCGUAAAGCGUGCGUAGGUGGUGGUUUAAGUCCGUUGUGGAAGCCCUGGGCUCAACCUGGGAAUUGCAGUGGAUACUGGAUCACUAGAGUGUGGUAGAGGAUAGUGGAAUUUCCGGUGUAGCAGUGAAAUGCGUAGAGAUCGGAAGGAACAUCUGUGGCGAAGGCGACUAUCUGGGCCAACACUGACACUGAGGCACGAAAGCGUGGGGAGCAAACAGGAUUAGAUACCCCCGUAGUCCCUGUCUCUUAUAC
RNAcentral lists this ribosomal RNA (301 nucleotides) under uncultured bacterium. RNAcentral describes it as "partial 16S ribosomal RNA". It matches the Rfam family "Bacterial small subunit ribosomal RNA", at positions 509 to 807 of the family's 1533-position model. The record is from RNAcentral.